Molecule: ribosomal RNA, 281 nt
Filed under: uncultured bacterium
Lineage: Bacteria
Description: partial 16S ribosomal RNA
Rfam family: Bacterial small subunit ribosomal RNA
Source: RNAcentral
GCUUGCUUUCUUUGCUGGCGACCGGCGCACGGGUGAGUAACACGUAUCCAACCUACCCUUUACUCGGGGAUAGCCUUUCGAAAGAAAGAUUAAUACCCGAUAGCAUAAUGAUUCCGCAUGGUUUCAUUAUUAAAGGAUUCCGGUAAAGGAUGGGGAUGCGUUCCAUUAGGUUGUUGGUGGGGUAACGGCCCACCAAGCCUUCGAUGGAUAGGGGUUCUGAGAGGAAGGUCCCCCCACAUUGGAACUGAGACACGGUCCAAACUCCUACGGGAGGCAGCAUG